This 468-nucleotide ribosomal RNA is filed under the name uncultured bacterium. RNAcentral's name for it is "partial 16S ribosomal RNA". It matches the Rfam family "Bacterial small subunit ribosomal RNA", at positions 28 to 507 of the family's 1533-position model. The record is from RNAcentral.
GAUGAACGCUGGCUGCGUGCUUAACACAUGCAAGUCGAACGGCAAGGCCCAAGCUUGCUUGGGUACUCGAGUGGCGAACGGGUGCGUAACACUUGGGUGAUCUGCCCUUCACUUCCGGAUAAGCCUGGGCAACUGGGUCUAAUACCGGUUAGGACGAUGGUUUGUAUGCCAUUUUGGAAAGUUUUUUCGGUGUGGGAUGAGCUCGCGGCCUAUCCGCUUGUUGGUGGGGUAGUGGCCUACCAAGGCGUCGACGGGUAGACGGCCUGAGAGGGUGUACGGCAAAAAUGGGACGGAGAUACGGGCCAGACACCUACGGGAGGCAGCAAUGGAGAAGAGUGCACAAGGGGCGCAAGAGUGAUGCAGAGACGCAGCGUGGGGGAUGAUGGCAUUCGGGUUGUAGACUCCUUUAGCUAGGGACGAAGCGGUUUUGUGAAGGUACCUGGAGAAGAAGCACCGGCUAACUACGUG